Molecule: ribosomal RNA, 498 nt
Filed under: uncultured bacterium
Lineage: Bacteria
Description: partial 16S ribosomal RNA
Rfam family: Bacterial small subunit ribosomal RNA
Source: RNAcentral
AUUGAACGCUGGCGGAAUGCUUUACACAUGCAAGUCGAGCGGCAGCGCGGGGCAACCUGGCGGCGAGCGGCGAACGGGUGAGUAAUACAUCGGAACGUACCCAGUCGUGGGGGAUAACACAGCGAAAGUUGUGCUAAUACCGCAUACGACCUGAGGGUGAAAGUGGGGGACCGCAAGGCCUCACGCGAUUGGAGCGGCCGAUGGCGGAUUAGCUAGUUGGUGAGGUAAAGGCUCACCAAGGCGACGAUCCGUAGCGGGUCUGAGAGGACGGCCCGCCACACUGGAACUGAGACGCGGUCCAGACUCCUACGGGAGGCAGCAGUGGGGAAUUUUGGACAAUGGGCGAAAGCCUGAUCCAGCCAUUCCGCGUGAGUGAAGAAGGCCUUCGGGUUGUAAAGCUCUUUCGGCAGGAACGAAACGGUGGGGGCUAAUAUCCCCUGCUAAUGACGGUACCUGAAGAAGAAGCACCGGCUAACUACGUGCCAGCCGCCGCCGUAA